UGCCCCCUGCCGUGCAAGUGAUUGAAUGAAGCUCUUUGUCCCAACUACAACAGGAAGGGAGCCGUUCCUGAUCCUGGUGCGCAUGUUCCGCAUUGACGGAAAAGCCUAAAAGGAUCAUAUGGCGCCCACGUUGUUAAUUCCAGGUCAAAGACCUAUCAACACGGCACAGGCAGGGGGAUU
This 180-nucleotide non-coding RNA is filed under the name Deltaproteobacteria bacterium. Its description in RNAcentral is "6S RNA". It matches the Rfam family "6S / SsrS RNA". Rfam says of the family: E. coli 6S RNA was the first non coding RNA to be sequenced, but its function was unknown until recently. It consists of 184 nucleotides that fold into an extended hairpin structure with a large single-stranded internal bulge. The 6S RNA specifically associates with RNA polymerase holoenzyme containing the sigma70 specificity factor. Lineage: Bacteria; Pseudomonadati; Myxococcota; Myxococcia. The record is from RNAcentral.